CCAUAUCACAUUGAAACACCAGUUCUCUUAUGAUCACCAAAAUUAAGUAACAUCAAGCCUGGUCAGUACCUAGAUGGGUAAUCACUUGGGAAUAACAGGUGCUGUAAG
This is a non-coding RNA of Acanthosepion pharaonis, 108 nucleotides long. NCBI's taxonomy places the organism in Eukaryota, Metazoa, Mollusca, Cephalopoda, Sepiida, Sepiidae. The record is from the annotation of a GenBank genome assembly.